This is a long non-coding RNA of Macaca mulatta (Rhesus monkey), 2692 nucleotides long. The record is from Ensembl. NCBI's taxonomy places the organism in Eukaryota, Metazoa, Chordata, Mammalia, Primates, Cercopithecidae.
CAGCAAGAAGGCCCUCACCAGAUGCUAGCACCUUGAUAUUGUACUUCUCAGCCUCCAGAGCUGUCAGUCAAUAAAUUUAUCUUCAUUAUAAAUUACCCAGUCUUAGGUAUUCUAUUGUAGCAGCAGAAAACAGACUAAGACAAAGGGGAAAAAAGGCUGGAAGUAUAUUGGGAUUGGUGAUGAGAGAGGGAUUAUGGAAAAAACAGUAAAGCAUCUCCUUCCUCAAAGUGUUUUAUCCAGAAUUUCACCUGCUUUCAUCAAGACUGUGAAAAUAGUUUUUGAGUACAGAUUGGUAUGUGAAGAAAUUCUAAAUCAGAAAGUGAUUUUCUAAGGAGUACAUACACAAUAAUUUUAAUUCUUUAAAUUGCCCAGGACAACUGAGGAUUGCAUUCACCAACAUUAUAAAUUUUCACUGGGAGUCUACAGAGUACUCAAAGAAAUGGAAAAGCAAAUCAUCUGGUAAUACUUUGUUGGUAACCAUCUGACAAGCUCAGUACACAGAGAAGAUGGCUGGGAAGGCAUAAGAGGUCACUGGGAUUCACCUCUACCUAGUCAUCCUAUGAUGAGCCAUAUAGAACUAUCAUGAAAAUAAACCCAUCCUCCAGAAUUUACCAUUCAAUAACUUUAUGCAAUGGAAAUUUUCAAGGCAGAUCUUCAUUGGAUUAAUGAAGAGGACCUCUGUGUGCCUCAAGAAAUGGAGAAUGGGUUGCAAAGUGCUUCCCACAGCACUGCCCUGGAGCAGAGAGGGUACAGAUUACAGGGAGACAAGAUAGCGAGCAGCGAACACUGCACAGGUAUAAAAACCCCACUCCUAGGAAAACAAGCAGCUACAGCAGGCAUUUUGCUGAACAUGUUGUCGGGGAGAAAUACAGCUGAUAAAGAAGCAGAUGCUGAUGGAAAGGCUGCCCAUGCUCGGGAACUGACAAUAACAGCUCUGGUAUGAAGAGGUGAUCUGUAACACACAGACUAUAGAGAACGUGAACAGAAAAAAAAUCAAUAAGCCAGUUCAAUACAAGAAGAGAAGUCAACCAGAACAGGACAGAAACCAUUACCUUAGCCACACCUGGAACCACACUGGGUAUGCCCUGGAGUUUUGAAUAUUUAUUGAUAGUUAAGUUCAUUGUACAACCUGUAGGGUAAGGAAGGAGCAGUGUGCUUGUCAUGUUACAAAAGUCCAUGAAGACCUAAGGGCCUGCAGGACAUUCAGCCACUUUUUACGGAGAGUCUACUAAAUUGUGUUUUAUCCCCCCUCAAAAGCUGGCAUGAGAUAUGCCUCCAGCUUCAAGCAAAACAACUCUGCCACUUUAGCAACUGCAGAUUCGAAAGAGCUUGAUAUAGGAACCAAAGGCAACCUAAUGGUGGAUCCAACACCUGUUUAAAUGGAGCAUUCCUUCUUGACUGGUGGCAAAUCCACACAAUCAUUUCUUAUGAGAACAAAGAUGUCCUGAGCAAGGGUGAGCUGCAGUUCUGCUUAUUGACAGAGCAAGCCCAGAUUUGAAAUAUAAGGAUAGGCUUUUCGGUAUAAAUUACUGUACACCUCCAUAGGUGUAUGCUUUCCCUCACACUGCCCUUCUAGCAUCUCCUGGUAUUUUCUGUACCCAUCCUUGCUCUUAGAGGAAAACAGGCACAACAUCUACAUGGAUUAUCUUUAAAAAAUAAAAAAGUCAAAGCAGAAGAAAGAACAAUAAUCCAUAGAUAGUUGUGAGUGGCAUGAGAAUGUGUCACGUAAAGGUAGCAUGGAAUAAACAGAUAAGUGGGAGAGUAGGAUAAUGGAUGGUGAAUGUUCAGGAUCAGAGAGAGAAAGAACGAGAGAGAGAGACAGAGAGAUAGAUCUUGAAUAAAAGACUGAGAAGCUCCUAGGAAUUUCAGGCUAAACAGUAGAAUAGGAGGAGGAUGAUUUAAGAUGAGUUCCUGUGUACUAAGUAUCUCAUCCUUCAAAUUUUGAGACAGACUCAAAUAAAGACCAGAAGUCUUGACUGGGCCACAUAUAUCCAAAUGCAACAUGUAUUUAAAUGUUUAUGGAUGUUUCCAUUAGGGUCUGAGAGCAUUGAGCAUUGGGAUAUAAUAACAAAAGCACAAUUCUAGUCCCAGUCUUCCUGCUCUAGACCUGGCUCUGACAUCGACAUAUCUUGGGCAAGUUACUCAGUUCUCUGGCCUUCAGUUUAUUCAUUUGUAAAAUGACCAGUCUCGCUGGAUGAUCAGUGCAGAAUUGUAGUCCCUUACUACUCUAAAAUCCAUAUUACAUUCAUAGUAGAAUACCUUUGUAAUGCUGAUAUGAGGAAAUGGAUUUACUAAUAGGAAGUGCUCUGGCCAGAUUUUAUUAUUUGAAGUAAUGCAUCAUGGAUAUAGCCAGAUAUGGGCGAUAAUAAGAUAGAUACAAAUAUGGUUUUGUUGUACCCUCUUCUAACCAGUAUUUCAAGCUUAAAUAAAAAUGUAACUAAUGAAUGAAAAAAUAGUGAAUUUAAUUUAUAUUACUUUGAAAUGUAUAUUGUAGCCAAUUUUAAGGGGUAGUAUGUAAAACAUAUACACACGCAUACAUAUACACACAUAUGUCCGGAAUUUGUUGCCUCAAAAACAGAACUCUAGGUAAGCAUUCACACAGAUCCCCUCCAGUCACUCCAAAGGCACUGACUGCUCUCCACCAUCCACAAAUUUUGCCAUUCCACACAGAAGGAGGGAGACAGAUUCAAAC